AGCACAGUUUGAUGAUUUCUGCAAGAAAAAAAAGUCUGGCACACUUGAAGUGACUGAGUUGAAAACUUGAAGUCAGAAUUCAAUGACUGCAAUGGCUUUUGGAGUCAUUGGUGAGUGCUCCCACAGGUGGACUGAACUGGACUGGCCCUGCAAAGACAAGUACAGAAUGGUCUCAAGACAAACUGAAUCCAAAAAGCUAUCCAUGUGAUUUCUGGGAGCAAUUCUGAACCACGUGUGGACUAUGGAAUACCCCAAAACUGUCCCUAUGAAAAUGGGAAGUGCCAGGACUAGAAGCAGGACUUGGGAUUCCCGUCUUCUUCCGGGAUUUUUGCCUCAAAGAAGACUCUCUCCGUCAUGGUGAAAAUUGGACCCAGAGUCUGAAUCAGUGAAUUGAAUUCAAUGUUAAUGCUGGUAUUGAAAAUAAAACAGAGUAAGAUUGAGAGAAAGAUAAAAUAAGUUUAAACCAUUUUUUUAGAUUUUCAACAGUAUAUAGAAAUGGUAGGAAUGCGAUUUCACAUCUAUUAAAGUUAACUUCUGGUGUCAGAGAGGUAAAUGAGAAUAAUUAGAACUUAUCACACUGCUAAAAGGUUAUUUACAUUGGAGUGGACAAACCCUAACUUCUUCUGGAUUUAAUGGAUAUAUUUGUUUGUCUUUUAUAUUGUCAUUGUUUCUGAAGGUUUGUAAUUGAUAUGUAUUCAGGUAAAUGUAGCAACCUCAUAUCAUUUCAUGUGGCUGCUUGAGGCAUGGUGACCCUCAGGUAAGCCACCACCAGCUAUCUCACUCUAAUGAAAGAGUAGCCUUAUGGUCUGCUAGGACUAUGGCUGCUUCCCUCUUGCUGAGACCACAUGUGGUAACUGGAAGCUAUGCUCAGCCUUAUCAUUGUAUUAAUGCAAAAUUAUUGUUUGAUAGUCUUGAUAGCUUGCUUAUAUGAUUUCAUAUUAUUUUCAUUUGAGAAAAUAAUUUUAAUGGAUUUCUUACAUUGCAGCAUAAUUAUAUUUUC
Hemiscyllium ocellatum (epaulette shark) is the source of this 1000-nucleotide long non-coding RNA. RefSeq lists it as uncharacterized. The record is from RefSeq and is a predicted model, not a curated record. The transcript is spliced from 4 exons. NCBI's taxonomy places the organism in Eukaryota, Metazoa, Chordata, Chondrichthyes, Orectolobiformes, Hemiscylliidae.